GUGGUGUCGGGGGACCGUUAGGGAAUGAUAGACCGUGACCCCAUUCACGGGCAAUCUCUAAUAUUCAUAACCCCGAUGGUUAUCCUCACCAC
This is a non-coding RNA of Arabidopsis thaliana (thale cress), 92 nucleotides long. Lineage: Eukaryota; Viridiplantae; Streptophyta; Magnoliopsida; Brassicales; Brassicaceae. The record is from RefSeq.